AUGGCGUCCGCCCUGCAGCCGGCCUCCACGCCGCCCGAUGGUCUUGUCGAUGAGGCAGCAGAUGAAGAAGAAAUAAGUUUUGUGUCACUACAUUAUUUUGGCAAAUUUGAGACAGUGGAUGGAUUGCUUGUAUACAACGGAGGUCUGAUGAUUACUUUUCCGUUCAAUAGGAAAAGCCUAAAGUUUGAGCUUUUGUUGUCUUAUGCUGAGGACAUGUAUCAUGUAGAAAGAGGACAUUGUAGGGGGGAUUAUAGUUACAAGAUGCACUGGCUUGUUCCAGGGAAAAAACUGAGUGAGGGUUUGCAAUUUAUUUUUGAUGAUUCAAGUGUGGAGAAGAUGGGGAAUGCAACACCUAUUGGGUCAUGUGCAAAGAUCUAUGUGGAGGAAGUGCAGUUGUGUGAAGAAGCAGUAAAGCAGUUGCAAAACAGAGUAGAUGAUGUGCCUGUGGUAGAUGAUGUGCCUGUGGUAGUUUCAGAAACAUAUUCCAAGCAUAAAGGUAGCAGAUUUGCAUUGGUAAAUGUGGAUGCUGUGGAGACAAACAUGGUCGAUGAGAUGUUUUUAUCAAAUGUAGCAGCUUCAGCAGAACACAGAGCAGAGCCAGAAGUUGUUGUAGGUGUGAAAAGGACAGCUGCUGAGGAAGAAAAUUUGAGGAUAAUAAGUGAGGCUAAUGACUUUCUUACUACAUUUGAGAGUCCAGUGAAGAUUCAGAAAAGUAGAGCAAGUAGAGUUGCAGUUAAAAGAAGAAAAGUACCUCUUGCAGCUCCAGUUUCAGCAACUACAUCUUCAGGUGCAGCUCAAGGUGCAUGUGCUCCUCCUCCAACUCCAGGUGCAGCCCAAGGUGCAUCUUAUUCAUGUCCAGGUGCAUCUUCUUCAGCUCCAGUAGGAAAUAAAGCAAAAUCUGCAAAGACCAAAGCAGUAGCAGAUCAUGUUGAAAAUGGAACAAGUGCUAAUGAAGUAUUACAUGAAAAUGUAAAAGAAGGAGAAGAAGGUGACGAUGAAAGUGACAUUGACUACCAGCCUUUGUCAGAGCACAGUUCUGCUGAAGAAUCAGAGGCAGAGAAAUUAAGGAAAUUAGCAAGGGAAAUUAGGAGGCAGAAGAGAGCAAAGAAAUUAGGGGAUGCUGUGGGGCCUGUCAUCAAAGAUAAUAAUGUGAUUGAAGGUUUGUCUGGUGAUGAGAAGCUGGAUGGCAUAGAAGAUGAUGUUGUGUCAUCAGACGAUGACUGCUCUUUUGAUGAGGAAAGUGAUGGUGAGGGGGCCACACAGCUAGUGAGAAGGAAAAGUGAAUGGAGAAAAUAUGACAGCAAAUCAGAAAUUCCUACAUUUGAGAUAGGAAUGGUUUUUAGAGGAAGACAUCAGAUGAAGAAAGCUCUAAUAAAAUAUGGCAUUAAGAAACAUGUGCAUAUUGCUUUCACAAAGGAUGAAAAUCAUAAAGUAGGUGCAAAGUGUACUUGGCCUGGCUGCAACUGGAUGAUCUAUGCUUCUAAAACUACUAGAAAUAAGUGGCUACAGGUGUCUACCUUUGUAGAUGAGCACCAUUGCAUUCCAAGAAGAGAUAACAAACUGGUCACAUCAACUGUUAUUGCUACAAAAUAUGGCAGGCUUAUAAGAGAAAAUCCAAAUUGGAAGUUAGAAGAUUUGAGGAAAACUGUACUUGAGGACUUAUUUGCUGAUGUGACAGUUGCACAGUGCAAGAAGGCAAAGAGAAUGGUCAUGCAGAAACUAUUGCAUUCCACUGAAGGAGAGUACUCAAAAUUAUUUAAUUAUCAGUUAGAGCUGCUGAGAACUAAUCCGGGAAGCACAGUUGCAGUGAAGUUGGACCAUAAUGAAAAGGAUGGGUCAUAUGUAUUUUAA
This 1851-nucleotide ribosomal RNA is filed under the name Triticum aestivum (bread wheat). Its description in RNAcentral is "partial small subunit ribosomal RNA". Lineage: Eukaryota; Viridiplantae; Streptophyta; Magnoliopsida; Poales; Poaceae. The record is from RNAcentral.